Molecule: ribosomal RNA, 336 nt
Filed under: uncultured archaeon
Lineage: Archaea
Description: partial 16S ribosomal RNA
Rfam family: Archaeal small subunit ribosomal RNA
Source: RNAcentral
CGGGAAACUGGGGAUAAUACCCCAUAGACCAGGGAUGCUGGAAUGCCUCCUGGUUCAAAGGUCCGCCGCCUGAGGAUGGGUCUGCGGCCGAUUAGGUUGUUGUUGGGGUAACGGCCCAACAAGCCUUUGAUCGGUACGGGUUGUGAGAGCAAGAGCCCGGAGAUGGAUUCUGAGACACGAAUCCAGGCCCUACGGGGCGCAGCAGGCGCGAAAACUUUACAAUGCGAGAAAUUGUGAUAAGGGAACCCCGAGUGCCCGUAAAGUCGGGCUGUCCGCCAGUGCAAAUAGCUGGUGAAGAAAGGGCCGGGCAAGACCGGUGCCAGCCGCCGCGUAAUA